Danio rerio (zebrafish) is the source of this 381-nucleotide non-coding RNA. The record is from RefSeq and is a predicted model, not a curated record. Lineage: Eukaryota; Metazoa; Chordata; Actinopteri; Cypriniformes; Danionidae.
UGAUCAUGUACCUUGUAACAACACUUAUGGUUUUACUGCUUGUGGGUCUUUUUACCAUAGUAUUCUGCAUGAUGACAAAUAAUCCAGAAAAGGAUCAGAUUAACAGCACCAUAAAUACUAUGCCCUCUGAAAACCAAAUGACAUCUAUCAGUCCUGCAGAAGCUGAUGUAAGUCCUCAUCCUUCAUUCUGUCUGCUUUACAACUCUCAGAAGACACUGACAUGCUGAACUUAGAUCAGUGAUGGUCAGUUGUGUUUGUUCACAGUCUUCUGCUGACGAUGCUUCAGUGCUUUACAGUCCUGUCUCCUUUACUAAGACAGUAAGUGUCUCUGAGAUUUUCAACACUGUGAUGUGUGUCAGUAGUUCUGGCUGGAAUUGUCUG